This 301-nucleotide ribosomal RNA is filed under the name uncultured bacterium. Its description in RNAcentral is "partial 16S ribosomal RNA". It matches the Rfam family "Bacterial small subunit ribosomal RNA", at positions 509 to 807 of the family's 1533-position model. The record is from RNAcentral.
CAGCAGCCACGGUAAUACGAAGGGUGCAAGCGUUACUCGGAAUUACUGGGCGUAAAGCGUGCGUAGGUGGUGGUUUAAGUCCGUUGUGAAAGCCCUGGGCUCAACCUGGGAAUUGCAGUGGAUACUGGGUCACUAGAGUGUGGUAGAGGAUAGUGGAAUUUCCGGUGUAGCAGUGAAAUGCGUAGAGAUCGGAAGGAACAUCUGUGGCGAAGGCGACUAUCUGGGCCAACACUGACACUGAGGCACGAAAGCGUGGGGAGCAAACAGGAUUAGAGACCCCUGUAGUCCCUGUCUCUUAUAC